RNAcentral lists this ribosomal RNA (202 nucleotides) under uncultured bacterium. Its description in RNAcentral is "partial 16S ribosomal RNA". It matches the Rfam family "Bacterial small subunit ribosomal RNA", at positions 524 to 725 of the family's 1533-position model. The record is from RNAcentral.
UACGUAGGGUGCAAGCGUUAUCCGGAAUUAUUGGGCGUAAAGAGCUCGUAGGCGGUUUGUCGCGUCUGCUGUGAAAACUGGGGGCUCAACCCCCAGCCUGCAGUGGGUACGGGCAGACUAGAGUGCGGUAGGGGAGAUUGGAAUUCCUGGUGUAGCGGUGGAAUGCGCAGAUAUCAGGAGGAACACCGAUGGCGAAGGCAGA